Molecule: long non-coding RNA, 3070 nt
Organism: Oncorhynchus tshawytscha (Chinook salmon)
Lineage: Eukaryota; Metazoa; Chordata; Actinopteri; Salmoniformes; Salmonidae
Source: Ensembl
AAGGGGGAUACCUAGUCAGUUGUACAACAGAAAGGGGGAUACCUAGUCAGUUGUACAACAGAAAGGGGGAUACCUAGUCAGUUGUACAACAGAAAGGUGGAUACCUAGUCAGUUGUACAACAGAAAGGGAAAGGGGGGUACCUAGUCAGUUGUACAACAGAAAGGGCGAUACCUAGUCAGUUAUACAACUGAAUGCAUUCAACUGAAAUGUGUCUUCCACAUUUAACCCCUCUGAAUCAGAGAGGUGCAGGGGGCUGACAUAAUUAACGACAGAUUUUUUUUUUUUACCAUUCGGUUACUGGCCCAACCCUCCUACCCGCCAGUGCUUGGUUUGUAAUGAAUAUUAUUAAUCACUUUGAUAAGGUCUGUUGAUUAUAAAAAUGUUUUUGGGGUAACAUAUACUGUUCUCAGAGAGAUUCAACUGCUCAUCUAUACCCAGAGAAUCAGAGUGAUGUCGUUAGGCUGUGAUUUAUCUAUACCCAGAGAAUCAGAGUGAUGUCGUUAGUUUAUGACUCAUCUAUACCCAGAGAUUCAGAGUGAUGUCAUUAGGUUAUGACUCAUCUAUACCCAGAGAAUCAGAGUGAUGUCGUUAGGUUGUGACUCAUCUAUACCCAGAGAUUCAGAGUGAUGUUGUUAGGUUAUGACUCAUCUUUACCGUUAAUCAGAGUGAUGUCAUUAGGUUGACUCAUCUAUACCCAGAGAAUCAGAGUGAUGUCAUUAGGUUGUGACUCAUCAAUACCCAGAGAAUCAGAGUGAUGUCAUUAGGUUCUGACUCAUCUAUACCCAGAGAAUCAGAGUGAUGUCGUUAGGUUCUGACUCAUCUAUACCCAGAGAAUCAGAGUGAUGUCGUUAGGUUCUGACUCAUCUAUACCCAGAGAAUCAGAGUGAUGUCGUUAGGUUGUGACUCAUCUAUACCCAGAGAAUCAGAGUGAUGUCGUUAGGUUGUGACUCAUCUAUACCCAGAGAAUCAGAGUGAUGUCGUUAGGUUGUGACUCAUCUAUACCCAGAGAAUCAGAGUGAUGUCGUUAGGUUGUGACUCAGCUGUCAUGCUAUGUUUAUUGUACUGCUGGGCUUCUGUCAUCUGACUGUUUUCUAUGGGGAUUAAGGUCUGUUUAAUAAGUAUACUGAAUUAUGACUUAAGAGGUCAAAAGUCAAUUAUACAAUUAUACAUUUUGUUAAAGUUUAACUAUCAGACUGUAAUAUAAUACAGUGUGUGUGUUUUAUAGUCAGAUUAUGACAUGUGUAUCUGAGAGAGGAGCUGUGAGAUCUGUGUUUAUCUCUCCUGUUCUGGGCAUAUGAUUUUCUCUCAAUCACUUUUGUCUGUUAUUUGAAUGACCUUUCUGUUGAGGACAUUUUAUAUAAUCCUCUGAUUAUAUAUUAUCAGCUGUUAAGAUAUUGUUUAUUAUAUUGGUUUUUAUCUAUUGAAUCAAUAUAUGGGCAGCCUACUCUGUAUUUCCUAUGCUAAUCACUAUCAAAUGUGACCUGUUCUGAUUUGAAUAACAGUCAGGCAUUACAUAACAUGCAUCAUUUACUAUAACUACAGUAUGUAGUGUAAUGUAUGAGUCUAAUGUAUAUGCUGUUAGCCCAGUUACAAUGUGACAUGUAAAAACAAAUACAACUUUAAGUAUUAAAUGUCAAUAUUAUUUGUUAAUCUCUGUUUCAGAUUAACAUGAUUUGAAUGAAACACAUUUUUCCUCUCGUCAAUAAUAGGAGGACGUCUGAGCAAUAAAGAUUAAGAAUCAAAGAGAAAGAGAAGUGUAACUUUAUUUAAAUUCUCAUUUUAUUGGUAACACCUUAACACAUUUCCUUAAGUUAGAGAAACACAUGUAGCAUGUUGAAGUACGGAUCAAUAACCAGAAGAAUUAGAGAAAUCUAGGAUAAAUAUAUUCUACAGAAGAAACCCAAACUGAUACAAAGAGAACAAGUCAGGGAAAAUAUGUAGAGUCAACUGUAGAGAAAUGAUUGAAUAAGGUUUUUAAACAGAGAGACCAGGAAAAUAGUUAAAUAAAUACUACAGAGAUAUACUAACUCAGUGUUGUCAGUGGAAGGGGUCUAGUCACUGGACGGAUGGAGGGAGGGAGGGGGGGGUAGAGGAGUAUUAUAAAGACCACAACACUUCCUCUCUCUACCUCUGCAGUCCAUACUAACACAUAUUUAUAUUACAUCAUAUUUAUCAACUGAUUAGUACACUGGUAGAAGCUUGAAGUCGCUUAAAAAGUUGGACAUCACCUACUAAUAUAAUCGCCUACUGAUGUAGAAUGUGCACUUUGUAUUUAGAAGUUUGAACAUUUCUAGUGUGUUCUUCCCUCUGAAGUCUAUUAGAGCUGAUUGCUAACAGUUUGCUUAAAGGGUUAGUAACUCCAGCAGCCACAGUGAUUUACAACCUGAGACUAAUCUGACCCCAGAUCAGCUAGUUGUGCUUUUAUUACACGUGAGAGUGACCUCUAGUGGCUUAACAAUGGAACAUUCUUUAUGCCUCCUGGUGAGACAGUAUGGAGUAAUGUUCCUCUCAAAAUAGGUUGAGUCAUAACGUCCACUUAGUCUCCCACUGACAUCGAUGCCUGAUGCACUUUCUCCUCUGUAGAAAAGUAAGCCAUAUUUAACAUUCAGACCCAUAUAAAAGCAUGCUAUAGAAUCUUCAUUACAUGUUCAUCAUCACCAUCACCUUCACCAUCAUCUAAAUCGUCAUCAUCUUCAUCAUCAUCAUCACCACCGUCAUCAUAGCCUUAUCAUAUUCAUCUAUCUUUGAUAUCUAUCAUCUCGAGACAAUAGUUGUAUGGUUUUUAAAAGCUAAGGUGAACAGAUAGAGGUUUAGUAUUCCAACAUUCAGUAGAAAAUUAGAAAGAGAAGAAGAGAAAGGACAAACACCUAAACUAGUGUCGUCAUGCAAAGAAACGCCAGCUAAGAUACUAGUUAAUAGUGGUUGUGUAAUACUGUAUACUCCCCCCUAAGAUACUAGUUAAUAGUGGUUGUGUAAUACUGUAUACUCCCCCCUAAGAUACUAGUUAAUAGUGGUUGUGUAAUACUGUAUACUCCCCCCUAAGAUACUAGUUAAUAGUGGUUGUGUAAU